Molecule: ribosomal RNA, 576 nt
Filed under: uncultured cyanobacterium
Lineage: Bacteria; Bacillati; Cyanobacteriota
Description: bacterial SSU rRNA
Rfam family: Bacterial small subunit ribosomal RNA
Source: RNAcentral
GGAAACCAUUGCUAAUACCCAAUGAGCCGAGAGGUAAAAAAUUUAUUGCCUGAAGAGGAGCUCGCGUCCGAUUAGUUAGUUGGUGGGGUAAAGGCUUACCAAGACGGCGAUCGGUAGCUGGUCUGAGAGGAUGAGCAGCCACACUGGGACUGAGACACGGCCCAGACUCCUACGGGAGGCAGCAGUGGGGAAUUUUCCGCAAUGGGCGAAAGCCUGACGGAGCAAUACCGCGUGAGGGAGGAAGGCCUUUGGGUUGUAAACCUCUUUUCUUAAGGAAGAAGAUCUGACGGUACUUAAGGAAUCAGCAUCGGCUAACUCCGUGCCAGCAGCCGCGGUAAUACGGAGGAUGCAAGCGUUAUCCGGAAUUAUUGGGCGUAAAGCGUCCGCAGGCGGCACUAUAAGUCUGCUGUCAAAGACCGCAGCUCAACUGCGGAAAGGCAGUGGAAACUGUAGAGCUAGAGUACGGUAGGGGUAGAGGGAAUUCCCAGUGUAGCGGUGAAAUGCGUAGAGAUUGGGAAGAACACCAGUGGCGAAAGCGCUCUACUGGGCCGUAACUGACGCUCAGGGACGAAAGCU